This 30-nucleotide non-coding RNA is filed under the name Mus musculus (house mouse). Lineage: Eukaryota; Metazoa; Chordata; Mammalia; Rodentia; Muridae. The record is from RNAcentral.
UGGGAAAAGUGCCCCCAAAAGGCAAAGGUC